CCAUUCACUUUAGCUCCUCAGCACAUUGCUACUCCACAAUUUUCAAGGUUAACAAGAAAAUGGAGAAUCUUCACUUGGUAGUCUGGACUAUUCCCCUAUGCAUAGGGCAAAAGGCUCUAAAAGGCCUACCGACAUACUAAGCUACAGUGUACCAACGGCUGUAGAGUGUGCUUUAUUUAAACCUCUUAUUUCCCAAAUGCAUUGAAGUUGCCACUGUACAUGUUAAGCAAUAAAGAAAAGUUAGUGAAAAUCAUGCAUUUUAAAACAAAUUAAUUUUAAGCAUUGUUAAUAAGAUUGUGCUGCAGCGAUGAAGUAUCCUGAACUGCAGGCCAGGUAUCCAAAUAUUUGUUACAUGUUGUUCAAAUAUCACUUUGAAGUGGUACUUCCUUAUUACUGUUGUUUGCAUUCAGCAGGUUGGCUGGAAUCUUUCUUAGGAUCACUUUCUGCAUCUUCCUC
This 456-nucleotide long non-coding RNA is filed under the name Gallus gallus (chicken). The record is from RNAcentral. Lineage: Eukaryota; Metazoa; Chordata; Aves; Galliformes; Phasianidae.